UGGGAGGCUAACAAGUUACACUUCACAGCACAGAAGCGCAUCAAAACGAGAAGGCGAUAAUGAUAACCAUCUCUCUCUUCUCUCGUUGCUCUGCUCCUCCAACGGUAGUUGUUUCUCCGGGAUCUCAUCGCUCCGGCAGCGUGUUCCGGCCGGAAUACGGUCUACGUCUUCGAAAAUCUCAAUUUGGCAUUAAAACCCUACGCCUUCACAGCAGCAAUUCCUCCAACGGACAAUCAAAGGAGGAGGAGUACAAGUCGAGCUCGAGCAGGUUCCUGGAUGAGGAAGGCGUGGUGGAAGACAUGGACGGAUACCUCAACUACCUUUCACUCGAGUACGAUUCAGUUUGGGAUACCAAACCUUCCUGGUGUCAACCAUGGACAAUUGCCCUCACUGGAACAUCCAUCAUUGGUGGAAGCUGGCUAAUAUUGCACAACGUCUUAGCCACUUCAGUUGCUUCCACUUUAAUCUGCACCUGGUGGUACAUCUUUCUCUAUUCUUACCCAAAGGCAUAUAAGGAAAUGAUCGCUGAGAGAAGGAAGAAGGUCACUAGUGGUGUUGAAGACACAUUUGGUUUAAGAAACAGUCCUUAAUUUUUUGCUGGAAAAACCAUCAUCAACUGAUGCCAGGCAUGAGUGAGUCGAUUUUGAUGUUUGUUUUCCAGGAUACAACAGUAGAAAACAAUUAUUCUACCCGAAUUCUCACUUAGCCCGGAUUAUACAUUGGUUGCAACAAAAGAUUGGAAGAAAAAACAAAGCGUAAGAGAGAAAAAGGAGAUUGUUUUUGAUUCAUUCGAUGUAAUCUAAGCAGUCAAGGAGAUGCUUUAUUUAUACUGUAAAUCGUAAUUGAUGUCAUUAAACAUCAAAACGUAACAGUCAAUUAAAUGACAUAAUUAAUUGGUAGAUCAAAACCGAAAUCUAUUA
Non-coding RNA from Lactuca sativa (garden lettuce), 920 nucleotides. The record is from RefSeq and is a predicted model, not a curated record. Lineage: Eukaryota; Viridiplantae; Streptophyta; Magnoliopsida; Asterales; Asteraceae.